CAAGGGUUAGGUCUAGGGGUAAAAGCGUCUUUUCCCGUAGAUUAGGUUAAGUGCAACUCGCGUCUCUAGACAGGGUAGAUGUAUUAGUGACCGGGUUGGAGAGUAGGAGGCAGCCCGGGCUCGGCACUUGUGACCGGUGCGGUCUAGAAGCUCCAGAACGGUUGCAUAGCUUCUGGCCGGUCUGGACAUAUCUUCACUCUUCUGGUCAUAACUUCUGAACGGAUAAAUAAAAAGCUCUGGUUCCACAUCGAGGCAAA
This 257-nucleotide long non-coding RNA is filed under the name Arabidopsis lyrata. RNAcentral's name for it is "long non-coding RNA (ALYR_LNC000985)". Lineage: Eukaryota; Viridiplantae; Streptophyta; Magnoliopsida; Brassicales; Brassicaceae. The record is from RNAcentral.